GAUGAACGCUGGCGGCGUGCCUAAUACAUGCAAGUCGAGCGAACGGACGAGAAGCUUGCUUCUCUGAUGUUAGCGGCGGACGGGUGAGUAACACGUGGAUAACCUACCUAUAAGACUGGGAUAACUUCGGGAAACCGGAGCUAAUACCGGAUAAUAUUUUGAACCGCAUGGUUCAAAAGUGAAAGACGGUCUUGCUGUCACUUAUAGAUGGAUCCGCGCUGCAUUAGCUAGUUGGUAAGGUAACGGCUUACCAAGGCAACGAUGCAUAGCCGACCUGAGAGGGUGAUCGGCCACACUGGAACUGAGACACGGUCCAGACUCCUACGGGAGGCAGCAGUAGGGAAUCUUCCGCAAUGGGCGAAAGCCUGACGGAGCAACGCCGCGUGAGUGAUGAAGGUCUUCGGAUCGUAAAACUCUGUUAUCAGGGAAGAACAUAUGUGUAAGUAACUGUGCACAUCUUGACGGUACCUAAUCAGAAAGCCACGGCUAACUACGUGCCAGCAGCCGCGGUAAUACGUAGGUGGCAAGCGUUAUCCGGAAUUAUUGGGCGUAAAGCGCGCGUAGGCGGUUUUUUAAGUCUGAUGUGAAAGCCCACGGCUCAACCGUGGAGGGUCAUUGGAAACUGGAAAACUUGAGUGCAGAAGAGGAAAGUGGAAUUCCAUGUGUAGCGGUGAAAUGCGCAGAGAUAUGGAGGAACACCAGUGGCGAAGGCGACUUUCUGGUCUGUAACUGACGCUGAUGUGCGAAAGCGUGGGGAUCAAACAGGAUUAGAUACCCUGGUAGUCCACGCCGUAAACGAUGAGUGCUAAGUGUUAGGGGGUUUCCGCCCCUUAGUGCUGCAGCUAACGCAUUAAGCACUCCGCCUGGGGAGUACGACCGCAGGGUUGAAACUCAAAGGAAUUGACGGGGACCCGCACAAGCGGUGGAGCAUGUGGUUUAAUUCGAAGCAACGCGAAGAACCUUACCAAAUCUUGACAUCCUUUGACAACUCUAGAGAUAGAGCUUUCCCCUUCGGGGGACAAAGUGACAGGUGGUGCAUGGUUGUCGUCAGCUCGUGUCGUGAGAUGUUGGGUUAAGUCCCGCAACGAGCGCAACCCUUAAGCUUAGUUGCCAUCAUUAAGUUGGGCACUCUAAGUUGACUGCCGGUGACAAACCGGAGGAAGGUGGGGAUGACGUCAAAUCAUCAUGCCCCUUAUGAUUUGGGCUACACACGUGCUACAAUGGACAAUACAAAGGGCAGCGAAACCGCGAGGUCAAGCAAAUCCCAUAAAGUUGUUCUCAGUUCGGAUUGUAGUCUGCAACUCGACUACAUGAAGCUGGAAUCGCUAGUAAUCGUAGAUCAGCAUGCUACGGUGAAUACGUUCCCGGGUCU
Molecule: ribosomal RNA, 1372 nt
Filed under: uncultured bacterium
Lineage: Bacteria
Description: bacterial SSU rRNA
Rfam family: Bacterial small subunit ribosomal RNA
Source: RNAcentral